AGCAGCCGCGGUAAUUCCAGCUCCAAUAGCGUAUAUUAAAGUUGUUGCAGUUAAAAAGCUCGUAGUUGAAUUUCGGGGUUAGUAGGUUGGUCAUGCCUCUGGUAUGUACUGGUCUCACUGAUUCCUCCUUCCUGAUGAACCUUAAUGCCAUUAAUUUGGUGUUUUGGGGAAUUUGGACUGUUACUUUGAAAAAUUAGAGUGUUUAAAGCAAGCUAACGCUUGAAUACAUUAGCAUGGAAUAAUGAAAUAGGACGUUCGAUCCUAUUUUGUUGGUUUCUAGGAUUGACGUAAUGAUUAAUAGGGAUAGUUGGGGGCAUUAGUAUUCAAUUGUCAGAGGUGAAAUUCUUGGAUUUAUUGAAGACUAACUACUGCGAAAGCAUUUGCCAAGGAUGUUUUCAUUAAUCAAGAACGAAAGUUAGGGGAUCGAAGACGAUCAGAUACCGUCGUAGUCUUAACCAUAAACUAUGCCGACUAGGGAUCGGAUGAUGUUAAUUUUUUAAUGACUCAUUCGGCGCCUUAC
RNAcentral lists this non-coding RNA (520 nucleotides) under uncultured Glomus. RNAcentral's name for it is "SSU rRNA". It matches the Rfam family "Eukaryotic small subunit ribosomal RNA", at positions 569 to 1091 of the family's 1831-position model. The record is from RNAcentral. RNAcentral also lists the same sequence under 1 other name. Lineage: Eukaryota; Fungi; Glomeromycota; Glomeromycetes; Glomerales; Glomeraceae.